AGAAACUUAGGUUAUUUUUAAACCAGGGGUCUUCAAAACCCCAAACAAGAACUCACCACUCUUAGUCUCUG
RNAcentral lists this transfer RNA (71 nucleotides) under Uroplatus fimbriatus (common flat-tail gecko). RNAcentral's name for it is "tRNA-Trp". The record is from RNAcentral. Lineage: Eukaryota; Metazoa; Chordata; Lepidosauria; Squamata; Gekkonidae.